UUCUCAAGAACACAUACGGAUCUGUGUCCAGCGAUCCCAUUCACGAAGACUUUUCUUCCUCUUCGGAGAGGAAUUGGAUUUGUGUUUUGGUUGAACGCUGGACAGUUCGACGACCACGGAGCCAUCACUCUUUCUGGUGUCAAUUUCCUGUCGACAGAUCUCAGAGAAAAUGUCGGUGCUGGGUGUUCGUCUGGUCUUGAGCUCCCUUUUCGGAGGUGAGCUCGGCUGGAUUGCCCGGUUGCUGACGGCGUCAUAUUCCUACUCUCUUUGCCGAAUGGCCGUCGGCCAGUGAGGCUAGGGACAAACCAUGACAAGCCAACAUAU
This 324-nucleotide small RNA is filed under the name Penicilliopsis zonata CBS 506.65. RNAcentral's name for it is "A. fumigatus sRNA Afu_309". It matches the Rfam family "A. fumigatus sRNA Afu_309". Lineage: Eukaryota; Fungi; Ascomycota; Eurotiomycetes; Eurotiales; Aspergillaceae. The record is from Rfam by way of RNAcentral.